Molecule: unclassified non-coding RNA, 378 nt
Filed under: soil metagenome
Description: partial contains 5.8S ribosomal RNA, internal transcribed spacer 2, and large subunit ribosomal RNA
Rfam family: 5.8S ribosomal RNA (bases 1-120)
Source: RNAcentral
GAUGAAGAACGUAGCGAAAUGCGAUAAGUAAUGUGAAUUGCAGAAUUCAGUGAAUCAUCGAAUCUUUGAACGCACCUUGCACCCUUUGGCAUUCCGAAGGGUAUGCUCGUUUGAGUGUCAUUGUACUCUCACACUCCCGAUCUUUGGAUUGGGAGCGGUGGACUUGGGUUUGCUGCUUGCCGUGGCUCACCUCAAAUGGAUUAGUGCACCUCUUGGUUGGACAUAGUACGGCGUGAUAAGUGUCUUCGCCGGCACCUCACUAGAGGGUGGCUGAUCAGGAGCUCUGUGCUUCUAACUGUCUUCGGACAACAACUGACAACUUGACCUCAAAUCGAGUAGGACCACCCGCUGAACUUAAGCAUAUCAAUAAGCGGAGGA